GAUGAACGCUGGCGGCGUGCCUAAUACAUGCAAGUCGAACGCUGGAGAUCUAGCUUGCUAGAUCGAAGGAGUGGCGAACGGGUGAGUAAUACAUAAGCAACCUACCCACGAAGACUGGGAUAAUCUCUGGAAACGGGGACUAAUACCGGAUAGGUAAUCGGAAGGCAUCUUCUGGUUAUUAAAGGUUAAAAACACUGGUGGAUGGGCUUAUGGCGCAUUAGUUAGUUGGUGAGGUAACGGCCCACCAAGACGAUGAUGCGUAGCCGGCCUGAGAGGGUGAACGGCCACAUUGGGACUGAGACACGGCCCAGACUCCUACGGGAGGCAGCAGUAGGGAAGGUUCGGCAAUGGGGGCAACCCUGACCGAGCAACGCCGCGUGAGUGAAGACGGCCUUCGGGUUGUAAAGCUCUGUUGUAAGGGAAGAACGGUAGAUAGAGAAUAUCUAAGUGACGGUACCUUACCAGAAAGCCACGGCUAACUACGUG
Molecule: ribosomal RNA, 486 nt
Filed under: uncultured bacterium
Lineage: Bacteria
Description: partial 16S ribosomal RNA
Rfam family: Bacterial small subunit ribosomal RNA
Source: RNAcentral